GAUGAACGCUGGCGGCGUGCCUAAUACAUGCAAGUCGAGCGAACGGACGAGAAGCUUGCUUCUCUGAUGUUAGCGGCGGACGGGUGAGUAACACGUGGAUAACCUACCUAUAAGACUGGGAUAACUUCGGGAAACCGGAGCUAAUACCGGAUAAUAUUUUGAACCGCAUGGUUCAAAAGUGAAAGACGGUCUUGCUGUCACUUAUAGAUGGAUCCGCGCUGCAUUAGCUAGUUGGUAAGGUAACGGCUUACCAAGGCAACGAUGCAUAGCCGACCUGAGAGGGUGAUCGGCCACACUGGAACUGAGACACGGUCCAGACCCCUACGGGAGGCAGCGUUAGGGAAUCUUCCGCAAUGGGCGAAAGCCUGACGGAGCAACGCCGCGUGAGUGAUGAAGGUCUUCGGAUCGUAAAACUCUGUUAUUAGGGAAGAACAUAUGUGUAAGUAACUGUGCACAUCUUGACGGUACCUAAUCAGAAAGCCACGGCUAACUACGUG
This 497-nucleotide ribosomal RNA is filed under the name uncultured bacterium. RNAcentral's name for it is "partial 16S ribosomal RNA". It matches the Rfam family "Bacterial small subunit ribosomal RNA", at positions 28 to 507 of the family's 1533-position model. The record is from RNAcentral.